GACGAACGCUGGCGGCGUGCUUAACACAUGCAAGUCGAACGGAAAGGCCCUGCUUUUGUGGGGUGCUCGAGUGGCGAACGGGUGAGUAACACGUGAGUAACCUGCCCUUGACUUUGGGAUAACUUCAGGAAACUGGGGCUAAUACCGGAUAGGAGCUCCUGCUGCAUGGUGGGGGUUGGAAAGUUUCGGCGGUUGGGGAUGGACUCGCGGCUUAUCAGCUUGUUGGUGGGGUAGUGGCUUACCAAGGCUUUGACGGGUAGCCGGCCUGAGAGGGUGACCGGCCACAUUGGGACUGAGAUACGGCCCAGACUCCUACGGGAGGCAGGAGUGGGGAAUAUUGCACAAUGGGCGGAAGCCUGAUGCAGCAACGCCGCGUGCGGGAUGACGGGCUGCGGGUUGUAAACCGCAUCCGCCUGUGACGAAGCGUGAGUGACGGUAAUGGGUAAAGAAGCACCGGCUAACUACGUG
RNAcentral lists this ribosomal RNA (468 nucleotides) under uncultured bacterium. RNAcentral's name for it is "partial 16S ribosomal RNA". It matches the Rfam family "Bacterial small subunit ribosomal RNA", at positions 28 to 507 of the family's 1533-position model. The record is from RNAcentral.